AGUGAGAUAGCUGGGUCAAAUGGUGGUUCACUUCCCAGUUUUCUGAGGAAUCUCCAUCCUGCUUUCCAUAGUGGUUGCACCAAUUUGCAUUCCCACCAGCAAU
RNAcentral lists this microRNA precursor (103 nucleotides) under Marmota monax (woodchuck). Lineage: Eukaryota; Metazoa; Chordata; Mammalia; Rodentia; Sciuridae. The record is from RNAcentral.